AACCUGGUUGAUCCUGCCAGUAGUGUAUGCUUCUCCUAAAGACUAAGCCAUGCAUGCCUCCGAAUAGAAGAGCAAUUCUCUCUGAAUCUGCGAACGGCUCCGCAAACCAGUUGUAAACCAGGGCAAGCAUGCUCCGGGGUCGCCGCAAGGUGUGCCUCGGGGCUAUAGGGAUAACCCUGGUAAUUCUGAGGCUAAUACAUGAACGUACCCCUCGGCCGACGGGUAACUGAAGGCCGGGGACCGUGCGAGUAGGCGCUGAUUUUUUAUUGGGAGUAGUCGCACAGUAGGACCACCAUCCAAACGGUAUCUGCUUCGCCCCGUUAAACGGGCUGGUGGUGUCCGGGUGGCUCUUGCAACGUGCUUCUGACCUAUCAACUAGAUGGCAGCUUAUAGGACAUGCCAUGGUGACAACGGGUACAGAGGAUAAGGGUUCGAUCCUGGAGAGUGGGCCUGAGAGAUUGCUCACACUUCUAAGGAAGGCAGCAGGCGCGCAACGUUCCCCUUGGGCAAUGCUCGAGGGCGUUAGGGGACAUAUGAAUGUCUGCCAAUUGGUGGACAAUUCAAAUGG
This 568-nucleotide ribosomal RNA is filed under the name Physaraceae sp. RNAcentral describes it as "SSU rRNA". It matches the Rfam family "Eukaryotic small subunit ribosomal RNA", at positions 1 to 517 of the family's 1831-position model. Lineage: Eukaryota; Evosea; Eumycetozoa; Physariida; Physaraceae. The record is from RNAcentral.